RNA transcript from Odobenus rosmarus divergens (Pacific walrus), 2634 nucleotides. RefSeq lists it as uncharacterized. Lineage: Eukaryota; Metazoa; Chordata; Mammalia; Carnivora; Odobenidae. The record is from RefSeq and is a predicted model, not a curated record. The transcript has 19 exons.
AGGGACUUGAUUUAAAUCUGUGCAUUGCUGAGGGCAAGGAGCGGAGAACAUGGACAGAGAGAAGUUUCAGCAGAAGGCUCUGAAGCAAACUAAGCAGAAGAAAUCCAAGUCGGCUGAAUUUCUGAUGGUUAAAGAAGAUAGAGAAGCUAUGGCAGGCAUUGGAAAUCCAGCUUUUAACAUGAGCAGCCCAGAUCUCUUAGCACAUCAGACUUCAGACAAGAGAGUUAUUAGACAUGACAUGCCUGAUCACACCCUUGCAGCUCACCAACAAAAAUUCGGGCUGCUGGCCUCUGCUGAACCAAAAGGAAAUGAAUACAGCAGAAAUUACUUUGACCCACUGAUGGAUGAGGAAAUCAACCCAAGGCAGUGUGGGAUGGAGGUCAGCAGAGAGGUUGAUAAUAGAAUUCUCUGUGAUUGAUUAAUGAGGCUAUUUGACAAGCAUGGACAAAGAGAAGCCCAAGAUGAGAGCUUCAAGGAGAUUCUGGAUUCUGAAGAGCCAGUGAGUUCCGGAAAGAGACCCGAACCCCGCAAAGAGGACAGCCAAGCCACUUCUGUCUACAGUGAGGCGUCUGGACGUGUUCAGAAAAGUAUAAUUCUGCCUGGAAGUUCUUCUUUGGAACAGGAUUUGAAAUUUGAAGGGGAAGGAUUCAAUCAGUACAUUCCUAUGUCCUGUUUAAAGACUGACAAAACAUUCAAGAAAGCACCAAGUCAACCAUUAAUUGCAGACCUAAAUGUCUGUAAAGAAGACAGUGCAGCCCAGCUCUGCAGCCUCCCAGAAGUAACUCAUGAAUCAAAGGGAGCAGCAGGACCUUGCUGGAAGCUGAUGGGGCAAGUGGACCUCAUGUUGAAACUGAAUAAAACUAUCUACCAGGUUGAGCAGAGUCAGGCGCCUCAGCAUCUUCAAAUACAGAUGAAAUGCAUAAGGGGCCUCAAGAACAAGGCUCCCCAAGGCUCUUACCUCCUCAGAGUGUCCUUGCUUGGUCGACCAGGUGGCUGUGCCUUGCAGUGGAGGCAAACGGAGCAGCUGAAGACCAGAACACAUCCAGUGAGGCAUGAUGGAAACUUUUAUGAUGUGGGCUGUAUUUCCAUGAAAGCCUUUAUGUGGUAGUCCCUCCUAAGAAAGAUGUGAAACCUGGCAUGGCUUUCUUGUUUGAACUCUGUCUCCUUCGUGGGAAAUAUGCUUGUUUUGACUGGGUUGUGGGCUGGGCAGCCUUCCCUUUGUGUGAUAACAACUUUGAUGUAGUGGAGGGAAAAUUCAAGUGUCCCCUUCUCUGAGGACAUUAUGACCAGACACUUGACAACUUCAGGAAAAUGGAAGAUUUGAUUUGCUUGGAUUUGGACCACUGGCUGUGCAAUCUCUACUUUCAGGUUAUUAAACUUCCUCUGUGUUUGGAUGAUCAACAAACCUAUGAAAGACAAACUCCGCUUUCCCCUGAAUUUCCAGUUUCUUUAAUGGCUGAAGCACAGAAAAUAGAAUCAGGCGUGGAGAAUACCCCCGGCCUUUCAGAGAAACAAACAGAGGAAAACAUUUGUGCAUCAUUGGAUGAUAAAGCUAAACCCUCCCUAUAUUCUUCUCAGGGAAGCAUUUCUAAUAAAAUUGGUCCCUGCCCUAUGGACUGUGAUCUCAAUCUCUUAAAAGAAGACCACGAAUUACACAAGAAGGGAGAACGUCUGAUCGAUCACUUGGUGAAGGAAAAAUCAGCUGCUUGGAGAACUACAGAAAUUGAGGAUUAUUCAGAGGAUGCAUCUUACCUGGAGGAACUGGAAGAACACAGAUUUUCAGUUUGCUGUUUUUCCGUUGCCGGUGGUACUGGAUCUGGAGGACUCCUCAAGCAUCUCCAUUUUGUGCGGGUGUCCGUGUUUUCAGAACUUCAGCUAGCUCAGUGGCGAAGCCAGGGCUUCUGGUACAUUAUCCUGCUGAUGGCUUCCCUCUGGUUCCUGAGGCUCUACCUGCAUUACCUUAGCCAGUGGCUGUUCCUCCAGGCCAUUUCAACUCCUGUUACAAAAUUCCAUUUUUCCCCUUUCACGGUUGAGCUUUGCUACUCAACUUCCUCACUUCAAAUCAGAGAAGAGUUGCUUGUGGUUGUGGUGGGACCUUUAGUGCUGAAUGCAGCGAUACUUCCUUUGGUUCUGAUCAGAUGGGGCUGUCAGCUACUGUUUGCCUCCUGCCCUGACGUCUUGUCAAAGUUAAUCAUUACCAUGGGACUAUGGACAGUUCUAGACCCACUGGCAGUGGGUCUAGUGGAUACUGUCCUGGGGCGGCUUACUCAUAAUGGGGAGAUUCCUGUAGCUGAUGCAGCAAAGCUCUACUGGGUGUUUGUAAGAACCAAGCAUUCAGGAGUUCUCAGUGUAAUGCUCACAGUGCUAAUUUACAGCCUCCUGUUCAUCAUUUCUUCUUUGAUUUUAUAUUUGUAUUGUCUCAGAUUGCACAAUGAUUCUUGGAUAUUAGAUGCAUUUCAGCGCAUCCAUACUGAAGAAACCAAGUUUUUCAUACCAUAUGAUUUGGAGAUUUCCAAUCAGGAGCUCAGUUACAUAGUGAAAAGGUCUGAGCAAUGGAGAGGAAUCCAUGGUGAAAGGAAGAAGCCAUUUUUUAUUGUAUUUGACUGCUAUCGCUAUACAAAUCUUGCAACUUGA